UUAUCAUUUAGAGGAAGGAGAAGUCGUAACAAGGUUUCCGUAGGUGAACCUGCGGAAGGAUCAUUGUCGAAACCUGCCCAGCAGAAAGACCCGCGAACAUGUUCACCUCGACGUGCGGGGAGGGGCGCCUCGGCCCCCCGCCCCGAGCCGGGAGCAACCCCCGGCGCAGCAACGAAACCCCGGCGCGAACCGCGCCAAGGAACACGAACUCAUGGCGUGCCCGCCCGCGCCCGGUCCGCCGGCGCGCGGGGGCGGCACCUGUCCCUACUUAGAAACGUAACGACUCUCGGCAACGGAUAUCUCGGCUCUCGCAUCGAUGAAGAACGUAGCGAAAUGCGAUACUUGGUGUGAAUUGCAGAAUCCCGUGAACCAUCGAGUCUUUGAACGCAAGUUGCGCCCGAAGCCUUCCGGCCGAGGGCACGUCUGCCUGGGCGUCACGCAUCGCGCCUCCCCCCCCGCCCGCCGGGGGGGCAGGAUGAUGGCCUCCCGUGCCCCCAGCCGGGGCGCGGCUGGCCCAAAACGGGAGCCCGCGGGGACGCGCUGCGGCGGCGACUGGUGGUGGACGAGGCCUUGAGGGGCCACCGUUUGCAUCGCGCCGCGCACGCACGCCGCCGGGAGGGGCUCGUCGGACCCUAAGGUGUGCUGAAGGCACAAAACCGUUGCGACCCCAGGUCAGGCGGGGCUACCCGCUGAGUUA
RNAcentral lists this ribosomal RNA (697 nucleotides) under Rhipsalis oblonga. RNAcentral's name for it is "eukaryotic LSU rRNA". The stretch from base 282 to 437 matches the Rfam family "5.8S ribosomal RNA". The record is from RNAcentral. Lineage: Eukaryota; Viridiplantae; Streptophyta; Magnoliopsida; Caryophyllales; Cactaceae.